CUAGCGACUUCAGAGUUUGAUCCUGGCUCAGAUUGAACGCUGGCGGCAUGCUUUACACAUGCAAGUCGAACGGAAACAUGGAGAGCUUGCUCUCUGAUGUCGAGUGGCGAACGGGUGAGUAAUACAUCGGAACAUGUCCUUUUGUGGGGGAUAACUACUCGAAAGAGUAGCUAAUACCGCAUAAGACCUAAGGGUGAAAGCGGGGGCUCGAAAGACCUCGCGCAGAUGGAGUGGCCGAUGACUGAUUAGCUAGUUGGUGGGGUAAAGGCCUACCAAGGCGACGAUCAGUAGCUGGUCUGAGAGGACGACCAGCCACAUUGGGACUGAGACACGGCCCAA
This 339-nucleotide ribosomal RNA is filed under the name uncultured bacterium. RNAcentral's name for it is "bacterial SSU rRNA". It matches the Rfam family "Bacterial small subunit ribosomal RNA", at positions 1 to 334 of the family's 1533-position model. The record is from RNAcentral.